RNAcentral lists this ribosomal RNA (506 nucleotides) under uncultured bacterium. RNAcentral's name for it is "bacterial SSU rRNA". It matches the Rfam family "Bacterial small subunit ribosomal RNA", at positions 28 to 528 of the family's 1533-position model. The record is from RNAcentral.
GAUGAACGCUAGCGGCAGGCUUAACACAUGCAAGUCGAGGGGCAGCGCGAUGUAGCAAUACAUUGGCGGCGACCGGCGCACGGGUGCGUAACACGUAUGGAACUUACCCUUUACUGGGAGAUAGCCCGGAGAAAUCCGGAAUAAUAUCCCAUAAUAAACGAAGUGGCAUCACUUUGUUUUGAAAGCUCCGGCGGUAAAGGAUGGCCAUGCGCACGAUUAGCUAGUAGGUGAGGUAACGGCUCACCUAGGCUACGAUCGUUAGGGGGCCUGAGAGGGUUAUCCCCCACACUGGUACUGAGACACGGACCAGACUCCUACGGGAGGCAGCAGUGAGGAAUAUUGCGCAAUGGAGGCAACUCUGACGCAGCCAUGCCGCGUGCAGGAAGAAGGCGCUACGCGUUGUAAACUGCUUUUAACCGGGAAGAAACCCUCCGACGUGUCGGAGGUUGACGGUACCGGAGGAAUAAGCACCGGCUAACUUCGUGCCAGCAGCCGCGGUAAAGUAG